This 530-nucleotide ribosomal RNA is filed under the name uncultured bacterium. RNAcentral describes it as "bacterial SSU rRNA". It matches the Rfam family "Bacterial small subunit ribosomal RNA", at positions 777 to 1307 of the family's 1533-position model. The record is from RNAcentral.
AAUAGAUACCCGGGUAGUCCAUGCCGUAAACGUUGGGCACUAGGUGUGGGCUCAUUCCACGAGUUCCGUGCCGCAGCAAACGCAUUAAGUGCCCCGCCUGGGGAGUACGGCCGCAAGGCUAAAACUCAAAGGAAUUAACGGGGGCCCGCACAAGCGGCGGAGCAUGCGGAUUAAUUCGAUGCAACGCGAAGAACCUUACCAAGGCUUGACAUGCACGGGAAGCCACCAGAGAUGGUGGUCUCUUUGGACACUCGUGCGCAGGUGGUGCAUGGUUGUCGUCAGCUCGUGUCGUGAGAUGUUGGGUUAAGUCCCGCAACGAGCGCAACCCUCGUCCCAUGUUGCCAGCGGGUUAUGCCGGGGACUCAUGGGAGACUGCCGGGGUCAACUCGGAGGAAGGUGGGGAUGACGUCAAAUCAUCAUGCCCCUUAUGUCUUGGGCUUCACGCAUGCUACAAUGGCCGGUACAAAGGGCUGCGAUGCCGUAAGGUGGAGCGAAUCCCAAAAGCCGGUCUCAGUUCGGAUUGGGGUCUG